UGGGGAAUAUUGCACAAUGGGGGAAACCCUGAUGCAGCGACGCCGCGUGAGCGAAGAAGUAUUUCGGUAUGUAAAGCUCUAUCAGCAGGGAAGAAAAUGACGGUACCUGACUAAGAAGCCCCGGCUAACUACGUGCCAGCAGCCGCGGUAAUACGUAGGGGGCAAGCGUUAUCCGGAUUUACUGGGUGUAAAGGGAGCGUAGACGGCUAUGCAAGUCUGAAGUGAAAGCCCAGGGCUCAACCCUGGGACUGCUUUGGAAACUGUAAAGCUUGAGUACCGGAGGGGUAAGCGGAAUUCCUAGUG
This 303-nucleotide ribosomal RNA is filed under the name uncultured bacterium. RNAcentral describes it as "bacterial SSU rRNA". It matches the Rfam family "Bacterial small subunit ribosomal RNA", at positions 355 to 675 of the family's 1533-position model. The record is from RNAcentral.